Non-coding RNA from Punica granatum (pomegranate), 952 nucleotides. Lineage: Eukaryota; Viridiplantae; Streptophyta; Magnoliopsida; Myrtales; Lythraceae. The record is from RefSeq and is a predicted model, not a curated record.
CAAACAAGGAAAGAACAAGCGACUAAACAAAUACAAAACCCAGUUUGAGCGCACAAUUCACGUUUCAUAGCGAACUUACGAUUCUCUCUCAGUCAAUAAAAAAUGUUACAUAAUAAUUAUAAUAAUAAUAAUAAUAAUUCUCUGUCCCACUCAAUCCUCAGUCUCCAAAAACCUGGCAGCGAUUUCGUAUCGGACAAUCGUUGUUCGUCGUCUCGAUUCGCUCUCUGUUCCUCUUAUUCGAUCCAGAAGAAGGAGAAGAUUCAGAAGAAGCGACUCGCCGCCGCGGAUUCGGCUCCAUAGGGUGGGGUUGAUCGUGACUUCCGGUCGGUGAAGGAGAAGAUCGGAGAAGAUCUCCGGCCUGAGAAAUGAUAACUCGCUCGAAACUCGUCGAGCAACUCAGAGACUACCAGAUCCGGUCCCAGCACAAGUGCCGUGCUCUCAUCGUCUUCUCCCCCAAGCCUCACCUCGCCUCUUGGGUUGAUGUGGUUGUUGCUACCUUUUCAGCAGUGGUGCUCGGCAUGCUUGUUGUGCUAGCAUAUGCAGCCCUUCAUUACCGGCGAUACUUGCUCUCCUUUUUCCUUUUAUGCCUAGUGAUUGCCUUCCCGUUACGCCUCAGAAUACAGAGGCAGGCGUGGACAAGGAAAAGGGAGAGAAGGUUACCUCUUUCCUUGUGACACACAUAGCAGCAGUAAAGUAUUUUAUAUUCUUUCUUUCCCCUUCAUCAGAAUCAACACUUAAUGUUAGACGAUUGUAAUUCGGUCAAUGGCGGCAGAUAGUGUUGGUUCAUUGUUAUUUUUAUGAGUUUCUGCGAGGAGUUUCUCGGAGUGCUAAAGCUGGUGAGGAUCUAAGAUUAGAAGGUAAUGGUUCCAAAUUUCUUCUGUUCAAAUUUUGUAUAUAAGACAUCAAAAUAACACAAUUUCAUGCAUAAUAGACUGUCAUUUUGUUUGCAUAA